RNAcentral lists this ribosomal RNA (660 nucleotides) under uncultured bacterium. RNAcentral's name for it is "bacterial SSU rRNA". It matches the Rfam family "Bacterial small subunit ribosomal RNA", at positions 68 to 719 of the family's 1533-position model. The record is from RNAcentral.
GGCAGCGCGGGAGCAAUCCUGGCGGCGAGUGGCGAACGGGUGAGUAAUACAUCGGAACGUGCCCAGAUCGUGGGGGAUAACGCAGCGAAAGCUGUGCUAAUACCGCAUACGAUCUACGGAUGAGAAGCAGGGGAUCGCAAGACCUUGCGCGAAUGGAGCGGCCGAUGGCAGAUUAGGUAGUUGGUGAGGUAAAGGCUCACCAAGCCUUCGAUCUGUAGCUGGUCUGAGAGGACGACCAGSCACACUGGGACUGAGACACGGCCCAGACUCCUACGGGAGGCAGGCAGUGGGGAAUUUUGGACAAUGGGCGAAAGCCUGAUCCAGCCAUGCCGCGUGCAGGAUGAAGGCCUUCGGGUUGUAAACUGCUUUUGUACGGAACGAAACGGUCUUUUCUAAUAAAGAAGGCUAAUGACGGUACCGUAAGAAUAAGCACCGGCUAACUACGUGCCAGCAGCCGCGGUAAUACGUAGGGUGCAAGCGUUAAUCGGAAUUACUGGGCGUAAAGCGUGCGCAGGCGGUUAUGUAAGACAGUUGUGAAAUCCCCGGGCUCAGACCUGGGAACUGCAUCUGUGACUGCAUAGCUAGAGUACGGUAGAGGGGGAUGGAAUUCCGCGUGUAGCAGUGAAAUGCGUAGAUAUGCGGAGGAACACCGAUGGCGAA